This 446-nucleotide ribosomal RNA is filed under the name uncultured bacterium. Its description in RNAcentral is "partial 16S ribosomal RNA". It matches the Rfam family "Bacterial small subunit ribosomal RNA", at positions 338 to 795 of the family's 1533-position model. The record is from RNAcentral.
CCUACGGGAGGCAGCAGUCGAGAAUCAUUCACAAUGGGGGAAACCCUGAUGGUGCGACGCCGCGUGGGGGAAUGAAGGUCUUCGGAUUGUAAACCCCUGUCAUGUGGGAGCAAAUUAAAAAGAUAGUACCACAAGAGGAAGAGCCGGCUAACUCUGUGCCAGCAGCCGCGGUAAUACAGAGGUCUCAAGCGUUGUUGGGAAUCACUGGGCGUAAAGCGUAGGUAGGCUGUUUCGUAAGUCGUGUGUGAAAGGCGCGGGCUCAACCCGCGGACGGCACAUGAUACUGCGAGACUAGAGUGAUGGAGGGGGGACCGGAAUUCUCGGUGUAGCAGUGAAAUGCGUAGAUAUCGAGAGGAACACUCGUGGCGAAGGCGGGUGCCUGGACAGUAACUGACGCUGAGGCACGAAGGCCAGGGGAGCGAAAGGGAUUAGAUACCCGAGUAGUC